UACGUAGGGUGCAAGCGUUAAUCGGAAUUACUGGGCGUAAAGCGUGCGCAGGCGGUUUUGUAAGUCUGACGUGAAAUCCCCGGGCUCAACCUGGGAAUUGCGUUGGAGACUGCAAGGCUAGAAUCUGGCAGAGGGGGGUAGAAUUCCACGUGUAGCAGUGAAAUGCGUAGAGAUGUGGAGGAACUCCGAUGGCGAAGGCAGCCCCCUGGGUCAAGAUUGACGCUCAUGCACGAAAGCGUGGGGAGCAAACAGG
Molecule: ribosomal RNA, 253 nt
Filed under: uncultured bacterium
Lineage: Bacteria
Description: partial 16S ribosomal RNA
Rfam family: Bacterial small subunit ribosomal RNA
Source: RNAcentral